Molecule: transfer RNA, 68 nt
Filed under: Miniopterus fuliginosus (Japanese long-fingered bat)
Lineage: Eukaryota; Metazoa; Chordata; Mammalia; Chiroptera; Miniopteridae
Description: tRNA-Gly
Source: RNAcentral
AUCCUUUUAGUAUAAUUAGUAUGACUGACUUCCAAUUAGUCGGCUCUGGGCAGCUCCAGAAAAGGAUA